AUUGAACGCUGGCGGCAUGCUUUACACAUGCAAGUCGAACGGCAGCACGGGCUUCGGCCUGGUGGCGAGUGGCGAACGGGUGAGUAAUAUAUCGGAACGUACCCAGAAGUGGGGGAUAACGUAGCGAAAGUUACGCUAAUACCGCAUACGAUCUAUGGAUGAAAGCAGGGGACCGCAAGGCCUUGUGCUCCCGGAGCGGCCGAUAUCUGAUUAGCUAGUUGGUGAGGUAAAGGCUCACCAAGGCGACGAUCAGUAGCUGGUCUGAGAGGACGACCAGCCACACUGGAACUGAGACACGGUCCAGACUCCUACGGGAGGCAGCAGUGGGGAAUUUUGGACAAUGGGCGCAAGCCUGAUCCAGCAAUGCCGCGUGAGUGAAGAAGGCCUUCGGGUUGUAAAGCUCUUUUGUCAGGGAAGAAACGGUAGAGGCUAAUAUCCUUUGCUAAUGACGGUACCUGAAGAAUAAGCACCGGCUAACUACGUG
This 484-nucleotide ribosomal RNA is filed under the name uncultured bacterium. RNAcentral's name for it is "partial 16S ribosomal RNA". It matches the Rfam family "Bacterial small subunit ribosomal RNA", at positions 30 to 507 of the family's 1533-position model. The record is from RNAcentral.